GACGAACGCUGGCGGCGUGCUUAACACAUGCAAGUCGAACGGAAAGGCCCUGCUUUUGUGGGGUGCUCGAGUGGCGAACGGGUGAGUAACACGUGAGUAACCUGCCCUUGACUUUGGGAUAACUUCAGGAAACUGGGGCUAAUAUCGGAUAGGAGCUCCUGCUGCAUGGUGGGGGUUGGAAAGUUUCGGCGGGUGGGGAUGGACUCGCGGGUUAUCAGCUUGUUGGUGGGGGAGUGGCUUGCCAAGGCUUUGACGGGUAGCCGGCCUGGGUGGGUGACCGGGCACAUUGGUACUGAGGUACGGCCCAGACUCCAACAGGAGGCAGCAGUGGGGAAUCUUGCCCAAUGGGCGCAAGCCGGAUGCAGAAACCCCGCGUGCGGGAUGACGGCCUUCGGGUUGUAAACCGCUUUCGCCUGUGACGAAGCGUGAGUGACGGUAAUGGGUAAAGAAGCACCGGCUAACUACGUG
Molecule: ribosomal RNA, 468 nt
Filed under: uncultured bacterium
Lineage: Bacteria
Description: partial 16S ribosomal RNA
Rfam family: Bacterial small subunit ribosomal RNA
Source: RNAcentral